UAGCAUAUGAAAAUAUGGGAAUCGGGCGGAAUUAUAGUUUUUUGGCCAUAAAGCACAAAAUAACGAGGAAUGGUCAUGUCAGGGUGGUGACUAUGGUUCCUUAGGUCGUAUUUGCUGGCCCGAAUAAAUUUUAGGCGAUCGGGGUCCGGGGUACUGGCCUACUCGGAAGGCGUGGGAUAUAGCACACACAAAUAUGGGAAUCCGGCGAAAUUCUAUUUUUUUGCCGUAAAAUGCAACAAAAUGAGGAACGGACAUGGCGGGGCGGUAACUAUGGUUCCUUAGGUCGUGUUUGAUGGCCCGGAGAAAAUUUAGGCUAUCCGGGUUUGGCGAGGCCCACUGGGAAUGGGUGUGCUAUAGCAUAAGAAAAUAUGGUAAUCGGGUGGAAUUCUAGUUUUUUGGCCAUAAAACUCAAAACAACGAGGAAUGAUCAUGGCAGAGCGGUAAGUAUGGUUCCUUAGGUCGUAUUUCAUGGCCUGGAAAAUUUUUAGACGAUCGGUGUCUGGGGGGCCUAGGCCCACUCGAAAGGUGUGGCCUAUAGCACACAAAAAUAUGCGAAUCGGGCAGAAUUCUAGUUUUUUGGUUGUAAAACACAAACAAAUAAGGAACGGUCAUGGCUGGGUAGUGACUACGGUUCCUUAGGUCGUAUUUAAUGGCUCAGAAAAAUUUUAGGCGAUCCGGGUGCGGUGGGCCCCGGCCCACUCGCAAGGCUUGGGCUAUAGCACACGAAAAUAUGGGAAUCGGGCGGAAUUCUUUUGUUUUGGCCGUAAAAUGCAAAAACAACGAGGAACGGUCAUGGAGGAUUGGUGACUAUGGUUCCUUAGGUCGUAUUUGAUGGCCUAGAAAACUUUUAGGCGAUCGAGGGUCCGAGCCCACUCGGAAGGCAUGGGCUAAACCACACGAAAAUAUGGGAAUAUGGUGGUAUUCUUUUUUUUGGCCAAAAAUAUAAAACACGAGGAACGGUCAUGGCGGGGCAGUGACUAUGGUUCCUUAGGUCGUAUUUGAUGGCCCGGAAAAAAUUUUGUCGAUUCGGGUCGGGGGGGCCCCUGCCCACUGGGAAGGCGUGCGCUAUAACACGCGAAAAUAUGGAAAUCGGGCAGAAUUCAUAUUACUUGGUCGUAAAACGCAAAAUAAUGAGGAACGGUCAUGGCGAGGUGGUGACUAUGGUUCCUUAGGUCAUAUUUGAUGGCCCAAAAAAUUUUUAGCUUAUCCGGGUCCGGGGGGCCUUGCCCACUGGGUAGGCGUGGGCUAUAGCACACUAAAAUAUGAGAAUUAGGCAGAAUUCUAGUUUUUUGUCCGUAAAAUGCAAAACAACUAGGAACGAUCAUGGCGGGGCGGUAACUAUGGUUCCUUAGGUCGUAUUUGAUAGUCCGGAAAAUUUUUAGGCGAUCUGGCUCCGGGGGGCCUGACCCACUCGGAAGGCGUGGGCGAUAGCACACAAAAAUAUGGGAAUCGGGCGGAAUUCUAGUUUUUUGGCCAACAAAUGCAAAAAUGAGGAACGAUCAUGGCGAGGCGGU
RNAcentral lists this long non-coding RNA (1514 nucleotides) under Nicotiana tabacum (common tobacco). RNAcentral describes it as "long non-coding RNA (NTAB_LNC010940)". Lineage: Eukaryota; Viridiplantae; Streptophyta; Magnoliopsida; Solanales; Solanaceae. The record is from RNAcentral.